UACGUAGGUGGCGAGCGUUGUCCGGAUUUACUGGGUGUAAAGGGCGUGUAGGCGGGACUGCAAGUCAGAUGUGAAAUCCAGGGGCUUAACCCUUGAACUGCAUUUGAAACUGUGGUUCUUGAGUGAUGGAGAGGCAGGCGGAAUUCCUUGUGUAGCGGUGAAAUGCGUAGAUAUAAGGAGGAACACCAGUGGCGAAGGCGGCCUGCUGGACAUUAACUGACGCUGAGGCGCGAAAGCGUGGGGAGCAAACAGGAUUAGAUA
This 261-nucleotide ribosomal RNA is filed under the name uncultured prokaryote. Its description in RNAcentral is "partial 16S ribosomal RNA". It matches the Rfam family "Bacterial small subunit ribosomal RNA", at positions 524 to 784 of the family's 1533-position model. The record is from RNAcentral.